Molecule: non-coding RNA, 601 nt
Organism: Cygnus atratus (black swan)
Lineage: Eukaryota; Metazoa; Chordata; Aves; Anseriformes; Anatidae
Source: the annotation of a RefSeq genome assembly
AUGUGCAGCCUGCCCGGGGUUAUCCUGCUCCUCCUGACAGGAGCCGCCUCUGCGGAGGAGCCGCGGAUCUGGCAGAGCCCAGUGCAGCUCUGGCUGCCCCCCGGGGCGACGGUGGAGCUGAGCUGCAACAUCUCGGGCAGCCCAUGGGACGCCAAUUGGUACAGGGAGAAGCCGGACGGCAGCUUGGAAUGGAUUUACCAGAGCACAGAGUCCUCGAAACCAAAGGGGAGAUACUCAGGGACGGUGAGAGCACCGGGAUUUUUCUCCUUUAGUAUCAGCAAUGUGCAGCGUGAGGACUCUGGGUCUUAUUACUGCACCUCCUCCGUGUUGCACUCCCACUUCGGGGACGGGACCAGGCUCCUCGUCACAGAUGCCACGGAGCCCAAGCUCUCCAUCCUGGUGCCCGUGGACGCGGAGGAGCCCUCGGACGUUGUCCCCCUGCUGUGCCACCUCCACGACCUCCCCAGGGGCUGGGACACCGUCCGCUGGCACCACGGCAGGGACACCCCGGUGACGGCUGAGGCCGUGGACGAGCGCGGGGUCCUCGGCGCCUGGAGCCUCACCUGGGUCUCGGCCGAGCGCUGGGACGGGGCCGCGGCGU